GACGAACGCUGGCGGCGUGCCUAAUACAUGCAAGUUGAGCGCUGAAGGUUGGUGCUUGUACCAACUGGAUGAGCAGCGAACGGGUGAGUAACGCGUGGGGAAUCUGCCUUUGAGCGGGGGACAACAUUUGGAAACGAAUGCUAAUACCGCAUAAAAACUUUAAACACAAGUUUUAAGUUUGAAAGAUGCAAUUGCAUCACUCAAAGAUGAUCCCGCGUUGUAUUAGCUAGUCGGUGAGGUAAAGGCUCACCAAGGCGAUGAUACAUAGCCGACCUGAGAGGGUGAUCGGCCACAUUGGGACUGAGACACGGCCCAAACUCCUACGGGAGGCAGCAGUAGGGAAUCUUCGGCAAUGGACGAAAGUCUGACCGAGCAACGCCGCGUGAGUGAAGAAGGUUUUCGGAUCGUAAAACUCUGUUGGUAGAGAAGAACGUUGGUGAGAGUGGAAAGCUCAUCAAGUGACGGUAACUACCCAGAAAGGGACGGCUAACUACGUG
RNAcentral lists this ribosomal RNA (497 nucleotides) under uncultured bacterium. Its description in RNAcentral is "partial 16S ribosomal RNA". It matches the Rfam family "Bacterial small subunit ribosomal RNA", at positions 28 to 507 of the family's 1533-position model. The record is from RNAcentral.